AUACCUUUCUCAGCCUUUCGGCUAAGAUCAAGUGUAGUAUCUGUUCUUAUCAGUUUAAUAUCUGAUAUGCAGGUCAUCGACUAACAUGAUAUGAACUCAAUUUUUUAAAGGGGAAGAGCUCAUUAAGGUAGCUUGUUGCCUGGGCUCUUGUGCGUUGCACUACUUCACGGGCCUGGCGCACCCUAC
This 186-nucleotide small nuclear RNA is filed under the name Solanum tuberosum (potato). RNAcentral's name for it is "snRNA U2". It matches the Rfam family "U2 spliceosomal RNA". From Rfam's summary of the family: U2 is a small nuclear RNA (snRNA) component of the spliceosome (involved in pre-mRNA splicing). Complementary binding between U2 snRNA (in an area lying towards the 5' end but 3' to hairpin I) and the branchpoint sequence (BPS) of the intron results the bulging out of an unpaired adenosine, on the BPS, which initiates a nucleophilic attack at the intronic 5' splice site, thus starting the first of two transesterification reactions that mediate splicing. Lineage: Eukaryota; Viridiplantae; Streptophyta; Magnoliopsida; Solanales; Solanaceae. The record is from Rfam by way of RNAcentral.